CUCUAUACGGAGUUACAAAGGACGACAUUAGACGAAUCAUCUGGAAAGAUGAAUCAAAGAAGGUAAUAAUCCUGUAGUCGAAAAUGUUGUCUCUCUUGAGUGGAUCCUGAGUACGACGGAGCACGUGAAAUUCCGUCGGAAUCUGGGAGGACCAUCUCCUAAGGCUAAAUACUCUCUAGUGACCGAUAGUGAACCAGUACCGUGAGGGAAAGGUGAAAAGCACCCCGGAAGGGGAGUGAAAUAGAACCUGAAACCGUGUGCUUACAAGUAGUCAGAGCCCGUUAAUGGGUGAUGGCGUGCCUUUUGUAGAAUGAACCGGCGAGUUACGAUUUGAUGCAAGGUUAAGCAGUAAAUGUGGAGCCGUAGCGAAAGCGAGUCUGAAUAGGGCGUUUAGUAUUUGGUCGUAGACCCGAAACCAGGUGAUCUACCCUUGGUCAGGUUGAAGUUCAGGUAACACUGAAUGGAGGACCGAACCGACUUACGUUGAAAAGUGAGCGGAUGAACUGAGGGUAGCGGAGAAAUUCCAAUCGAACCUGGAGAUAGCUGGUUCUCUCCGAAAUAGCUUUAGGGCUAGCCUCAAGUGAUGAUUAUUGGAGGUAGAGCACUGUUUGGACGAGGGGCCCCUCUCGGGUUACCGAAUUCAGACAAACUCCGAAUGCCAAUUAAUUUAACUUGGGAGUCAGAACAUGGGUGAUAAGGUCCGUGUUCGAAAGGGAAACAGCCCAGACCACCAGCUAAGGUCCCAAAAUAUAUGUUAAGUGGAAAAGGAUGUGGCGUUGCCCAGACAACUAGGAUGUUGGCUUAGAAGCAGCCAUCAUUUAAAGAGUGCGUAAUAGCUCACUAGUCGAGUGACACUGCGCCGAAAAUGUACCGGGGCUAAACAUAUUACCGAAGCUGUGGAUUGUCCUUUGGACAAUGGUAGGAGAGCGUUCUAAGGGCGUUGAAGCAUGAUCGUAAGGACAUGUGGAGCGCUUAGAAGUGAGAAUGCCGGUGUGAGUAGCGAAAGACGGGUGAGAAUCCCGUCCACCGAUUGACUAAGGUUUCCAGAGGAAGGCUCGUCCGCUCUGGGUUAGUCGGGUCCUAAGCUGAGGCCGACAGGCGUAGGCGAUGGAUAACAGGUUGAUAUUCCUGUACCACCUAUAAUCGUUUUAAUCGAUGGGGGGACGCAGUAGGAUAGGCGAAGCGUGCGAUUGGAUUGCACGUCUAAGCAGUAAGGCUGAGUAUUAGGCAAAUCCGGUACUCGUUAAGGCUGAGCUGUGAUGGGGAGAAGACAUUGUGUCUUCGAGUCGUUGAUUUCACACUGCCGAGAAAAGCCUCUAGAUAGAAAAUAGGUGCCCGUACCGCAAACCGACAC
RNAcentral lists this ribosomal RNA (1354 nucleotides) under Staphylococcus aureus. RNAcentral's name for it is "bacterial LSU rRNA". It matches the Rfam family "Bacterial large subunit ribosomal RNA", at positions 308 to 1660 of the family's 2925-position model. Lineage: Bacteria; Bacillati; Bacillota; Bacilli; Caryophanales; Staphylococcaceae. The record is from RNAcentral.